UUAAUUGAAGAGUUUGAUCAUGGCUCAGAUUGAACGCUGGCGGCAGGCCUAACACAUGCAAGUCGAGCGGUAACAGAUUGAUAGCUUGCUAUCAAUGCUGACGAGCGGCGGACGGGUGAGUAAUGCCUGGGAAUAUGCCCUGAUGUGGGGGAUAACUAUUGGAAACGAUAGCUAAUACCGCAUAAUCUCUUCGGAGCAAAGAGGGGGACCUUCGGGCCUCUCGCGUCAGGAUUAGCCCAGGUGGGAUUAGCUUGUUGGUGGGGUAAUGGCUCACCAAGGCAACGAUCCCUAGCUGGUCUGAGAGGAUGAUCAGCCACACUGGAACUGAGACACGGUCCAGACUCCUACGGGAGGCAGCAGUGGGGAAUAUUGCACAAUGGGGGAAACCCUGAUGCAGCCAUGCCGCGUGUAUGAAGAAGGCCUUCGGGUUGUAAAGUACUUUCAGUUGUGAGGAAGGCGUUGAUGUUAAUAGCUUCAGCGUUUGACGUUAGCAACAGAAGAAGCACCGGCUAACUCCGUGCCAGCAGCCGCGGUAAUACGGAGGGUGCGAGCGUUAAUCGGAAUUACUGGGCGUAAAGCGCAUGCAGGUGGU
Molecule: ribosomal RNA, 592 nt
Filed under: Photobacterium angustum
Lineage: Bacteria; Pseudomonadati; Pseudomonadota; Gammaproteobacteria; Vibrionales; Vibrionaceae
Description: bacterial SSU rRNA
Rfam family: Bacterial small subunit ribosomal RNA
Source: RNAcentral